Non-coding RNA from Pantherophis guttatus, 377 nucleotides. The record is from RefSeq and is a predicted model, not a curated record. NCBI's taxonomy places the organism in Eukaryota, Metazoa, Chordata, Lepidosauria, Squamata, Colubridae.
ACAGAUGGACAGAUGGAUGGACAGUUCUUUCUGCAAGAGCUGUGGUGGCUCAGUGGUUAGAAUGCAGUAUUGCAGGCUAAUUCUGCUGACUGCCAGUAGUUCAACCCUCACCAAAUCAAGGUUGACUCAGCCUUCCAUACUUCCGAGUUCACAGGAGUCUUAGAUACACCUUUGAAGAAAGGAUGGAACAGGAAGCAAAAUCGGAGGGGUUCGUUAUUCCUGGUGCUUAGAUGUCCCGCAAACACGUCACACCCGAAUUCACGGACCUUAAUGGCACGCAAGACAUGUGGUUUAGGCUCAAAGGAGGCUCUCCACACCGCAGGUGCUGAAACAAACUUUCAUGGCCAAAUGCCAAAAUAAAGAUUAACAUGGAUGAC